Molecule: long non-coding RNA, 1294 nt
Filed under: Anas platyrhynchos platyrhynchos (common mallard)
Lineage: Eukaryota; Metazoa; Chordata; Aves; Anseriformes; Anatidae
Description: lncRNA (ENSAPLG00000017532.1)
Source: RNAcentral
CUGCUCCCCUGCAGCUGCACCCAAGACAGCAACACCCCCCCCACAAGCAGGUAAGCUGUCCUUCCCCUGGGGCUGGGUCUGUCCAUGGACAAGCUGUGACCCACAGCCAGGGGAAGGGGCUCCUUAUUGGGCUCUGAGACUCCCAGGAAAUCAAGGGAGCUGGGAGAAGUCUGUGAUGGACCCAGAAGGGUGGGAGCUGCCCCAUUACCCAGCCCUGUCCCCCCCAGCCCCUGCUACCUUGUGUGGUCAGGAGUGGCAUGUCCUGCCCCCAAACUCUCCCUUGUCUGAUGCUGCCCCUGCCAUGUUCCUGUCCAUGCAGAUCCCCCACAGGGCCGUCCGACCACCAGCAGUGAGGGACUCUCGGUGCCUGUCGUCAUCUGCAUCAUCCUGGGGGCCCUCCUCUGCCUGCUCCUGGCCCUCCUGGCUGGGCAGGUGCGAAGCGCCAGGGCUCGGCGCAGAGGUGGGUUCUUCCCCAGUGGUUCUGGGUGGGGAGAUGCCUCCUGGCAGGGCUGGGGGUGCUGGGGGUGUUGGUGUUCUGGGGCACAGAAACAGAGCCGUGUGCUGCCUCCUGCCCCAUGUGCUGCCCCACUGACUGACAGACCAUGGUGUACCAACAUCAAGGGGUGGAGAGAGCCCAGAGCCUGAGGCAUCAGUUCUGGGGUGAGAAGAGAAAUGUGAGAGCUGGGCUGGGUGAGACGGGGAGGAUGCACUGCUGGCAGUGCUCUGGGCAGCACUGGCAGGAGGAGCAUGGGACAGCAGGGUCCAUCACCGUGGUGUCAGCCACCCCGCAACAGGGCACAGGCUGUGCUAUUGCUGUGUGGGGCAGAGAUGGAGCAGCUCCAUGGGGAGGAGAAAUGAGGGAAUUGGUGCAGAGUCUGCACUGGGACAUGACCCAGGGAACAAAGGGGCACAAGGGCUGUCUCCAGAGGGAUGGGUCGAGGCUGACUCUGUCCCAGACCAUCCCAUGGGGAUGCUGCCCUCCCUGGGGAUGUGGCCUCAGUGCCAACACAACACAGAGGGGCUGUGCUGUGGGGACAGCCCUGUGCUGGCCUAGGGAAUGGGGCUGGGGGAGUCCAGUGGGGUCCUGUCCCUCUCUGCCCAUGCCCAAACCUGCCCUGCUUCUGUCCCCAGGCUCUGGGAGAGCCUGGGAGCCCUUCCCUGAGGCCGUGUACGAGGAGAUCGCUUACAGCGUGGCGUGGGAGAAGCAGGCGAGGUUCAGUCUCUCAGAUGUCCCUGUCCUGCCCGGAGGUUACCCAGCAGAUGGCUAUGAUGAUGCUGGGGAGGUUUCUGACCC